AUAAUGAAACUCCCGUAUAGCUCUCGUCCGAACAGAGAAAAACUGUCGCAGGCAAAGGUACGGCUGCAUAGAGGUGCAGGGGUGAAAUUCCCGUGG
This is a regulatory RNA element of Acetonema longum DSM 6540, 96 nucleotides long. It matches the Rfam family "pemK RNA". NCBI's taxonomy places the organism in Bacteria, Bacillati, Bacillota, Negativicutes, Acetonemataceae. The record is from Rfam.